CAGAAUCUGAAUCAAAAUAGAACUCAAGAGUUCUCUUGAGAAAAGUUUCUUUACUUUCAAAAAUUUCUUGUUUCCAAAUUUAAGUUUUCAAAAUUUCAAAAUUUUACUUCCAUCCACUUCCAUUCAAUCCUUAGAUCCUUAGGACUCGUUUGGUAUCAAAGCCAAGAAGGAAUAGGUAAAUCUAAGUUUUGAAAAUCUUCAAAUUUGUUUUCAAUAUUUCUGAGUUUUGGUUUAACUAUCUUUAUUAAUUUCCUAUGAUUUUUUUUAGUAUUGAUACACAGUUUUGUAAUAGUCUGUUUUUCAGUAGUGUCGAAAAUGGUGAUUUUGGGACCACGAAUUUGACAAGUGAGCUUGUAAAUAUUAUUAAUUUAAUAUUUAUGAGUCAAUUAUAAUAUUAUUGAAAUUUUGAUUUAAUAAAUUUCGUUAAUUGAUCGUGUAGUUAAGUGGUUCAUUCCUUAAUUCAAGUGGUUUUGGAAAAUGAAGUAUUGAGACCUCCUUUCUAUAAACCGAACCCGUAAAUAUUUUUAUUAAAUAUUUACAGAGUUAUUAUAUAGGUAUGUGAAUAUUCGGUUAGGAAAUUUUUAUUUUAAUUAGUUAAUUAAUUAAAAAGGACUAAAUCGUAAAAGUCAAAAAAUCUAAUCACUAUUGAAUUUUAAUGGUUAAAUAGCUUAACUAGUGGAUGUGUGAGGACUUAUGAAAUAAUUAUACUAUGUUUUCAUAUUAGUGGACGGUUAAGACAUUUAUUUAUGGAUUAUAUAUGUUAUAUUAUAAGUUAAAUAAUAAUAAAGUAAAUAAAAUAAGUAAAGUUAAAAAAAGAAAAGAAAAAGAAAACAUAAAGAAUUAGUGUCAUAUUCUUCUUCUUUUAAUUUGAACAUCGAACCAUCAUGGGAGAACUUGGGAAGCUUCGGCUUUGAUAUUUCCAUUGCAUGUAAGUGAGUUUUUCACUCGUUUUUCGUAAAUUUUAUAUUUUUGAGACCGUUGCAGCUAGGUACAGCUAACAUGUAUCUCUAUUUUUAAAAUUGUUAAAGAUUUUGGAUUUUACCAGUAAUUAAUUUUAGUUGUGUUGAGAAUUUAAUUGAUGUAUUCUUGAGUUUUACAGCUAGAUAUAAGUAUUUUGUUAAGUGAUUUUUAGUAAUUUUAAUGUUUAGGGAUUAAAUUUUUUAAAUAGUAAAAUUCAAUGAAAAUAGUGUGAAAUGAUAAGAAAUAUGGGCUGUAAUGGACCCCUAGGAAAAUUGGCUAGCAUAGUUUUUCAUUAAGUGUGGUUAAUUUGUGUGUUUUGGGUUUAGGGACUAAAUUGCAUAAAAGGUAAAAAUUUAGGGUAAAAGUGUGAAAUGAUGAUUAAGGGUAAAAUUUAUGAAUUUGAGUAUUUUAUGAUAUUUGAAUUGGUUAAUUGAAUAAAUUUAUUAUAUUUAGAUCAAGAAAUGAGCUAACCUGGCAUUAAUUGUGGGAAAGGAAAGUUAAAGGAGAAAUCGUCGGUGUUGUGUUUGUAACUAUUUUCAAUUAGGUAAGUUUGUAAAUUGAUUAAAUUAAUUAUUUGUUAUUUUUUUGACUUAAUAAAUAUAUUUAUGUUGUUACUCAAUUUAACUACUUGAGAUUGAUAUGUGAUGAGUUGGACUAAGUUAUGAUGAUAUUUAAGUUGAGUACUGUGUUUGGAAAAUGUGAAAUACACGGAUGUGAGUUUGAAAUGGUAUAAUGGAAACGAAGUUAAAUGACUAGGAUAUAAAAUGUGUCACAUUUGAACCUUGUGAGUACUUAGGAUACAAAUGACAUGUCAUUAGGAGGUUAUUUCCAGUUUCGGGUGCUGGUCUUGGAUGUCCUACCGAUGGCUGAGGUAUUGUACUUGUUGUGGAUUCUCCACAAUUCGUGUGAGCAGCAUCGUGUAGCUUAAUAUCAUGACCCAUAGCUUGUGUGAGCAGACCCAUUUCACAGAUCAUAUGAGCAUACAGUAUUACAUGUUACAGUCACAGCUUGCGUGAGCAUCCCGAGUAUCCGAUGUUAUUUCAUUUGGUUCAACAGGUAGUAAAAUUUUAAAUGAAUAUGUACAUAUAUAAAAUGUUAUAUGGUCAAGACAUGUGAAUUGGAAGAUGCUGAUAUAAAUACUUGGAAUGGGAAGCUAUGUUUAUCGAACACAUGAUGGAUGUAAUAUGUACUGGUUAUGUUAUUAUUACAUGUUCCAUUAUUGUUGGAAUUAUAUGCUUCUUUGUGAUACCUAUUAACCUUGUAAGGUUGUGUUGUAUAGAAAAGAAAUGUAAGUAUAAGAUUUAAUGAAUGAAUAUGUGUUAUAUGCUAAAUAAAUAUGUGAUGGUUGGUUAUGUACCAAAUAAGUUUUUUGGUAUAUGUUUGAUGGCAUGAUAAAGUUACAUGUUUUAUAUAUGAACUCACUAAUCUUGUGAGACUUGUGAUGUGUCUAGGAAAUUAACAAACUCAUGACCAGGACAUAGAGUUAUCUUGUAAAAUGUUUUAUUACAUCGCUUUUGAUUGUUGGAGUUGAGCUAUCAAUUGGAUUACUUUUGGAGAUCAUGCUAUUUGUUCAAUGAUUCAGUAUAAGAUGUGAUUAUUUUUUAUUUAGUUUAUAAGUGGCAUGUUCUAGGAGUAUAUAAGUUUUUUUGCUAUAAUGAUGUAACCUUAGUUUAAGUAUAUAUGUAUAUAUAUAUUUGAUUUAGCUUGUAUAUGUCCAUAUUUGUAUAUCUUUAGUUGUUGUGUAUAUGCUUCUUGGAUGUGUUUGAAAUAUGGUAAGAUUGAAUAUGAAUGGAAUGGUUGAAUUGGUACAAAUGUUUAGGUAA
Molecule: long non-coding RNA, 2783 nt
Organism: Gossypium raimondii (Peruvian cotton)
Lineage: Eukaryota; Viridiplantae; Streptophyta; Magnoliopsida; Malvales; Malvaceae
Exons: 2
Source: RefSeq, a predicted model, not a curated record